UUCCGGUUGAUCCCGCCGGAGGCUACCGCUAUUGGAGUUCGAUUAAGCCAUGCGAGUCGCGAGUCUUAGGGACUCGGCGUACCGCUCAGUAACACGUGGGUAACCUGCCCUAUGCAGGGGGAUAACCUCGGGAAACUGAGAAUAAUACCCCAUAGUUCACCACGCCUGGAACGGUGGGUGGAUGAAAGCUCCGGCGGCAUAGGAUGGGCCUGCGGCGUAUCAGGUUGUAGGGGGUGUAAUGUACCCUCUAGCCAUCUACGCGUACGGGUGUUGGGAGACAUCGCCCGGAGAUGGAUUCUGAGACACGAAUCCAGACCCUACGGGGUGCAGCAGGCGCGAAAACUUGGCAAUGCGAGCAAUCGUGACCAGGGAACUCCAAGUGCAUCGGGUAAGACCGAUGCUUUUCUUGACUCUUCAAAGGUCUUGGAAUAAGGGGUGGGUAAGGACGGUGCCAGCCGCCGCGGUAAUACCGGCGCCUCAAGUGGUAGUCGCUUUUAUUGGGCCUAAAACGUCCGUAGCCGGUUUGGUACAUUCGUGGGUAAAUCAAGGCGCUCAACGUCUUGAAUUCUGCGAGCACGGCCAGACUUGGGACCGGGUGAGGUGUGGGGUACUCUCAGGGUAGGGGUAAAAUCCUGUCAUCCUGAGAGGACCACCUGUUGCGAAGGCGCCACACUAGAACGGAUCCGACGGUCAGGGACGAAGCCUAGGGGCACGAACCGGAUUAGAUACCCGGGUAGUCCUAGGUGUAAACGCUGUGGACUUGAUGUUGGGAGUGCUCCGAGCACCCUCAGUGUCGAAGCGAAGGUGAUAAGUCCACUGCCUGGGGAGUACGGUCGCAAGGCUGAAACUUAAAGGAAUUGGCGGGGGAGCACUGCAACCUGAGGAUUGUGCGGUUUAAUUGGAGUCAACGCCGG
RNAcentral lists this ribosomal RNA (914 nucleotides) under uncultured marine archaeon. Its description in RNAcentral is "bacterial SSU rRNA". It matches the Rfam family "Archaeal small subunit ribosomal RNA", at positions 1 to 921 of the family's 1478-position model. The record is from RNAcentral.